Molecule: ribosomal RNA, 204 nt
Filed under: uncultured bacterium
Lineage: Bacteria
Description: partial 16S ribosomal RNA
Rfam family: Bacterial small subunit ribosomal RNA
Source: RNAcentral
AUCGCAGCCUGCAACCCGGCUGCGUGAAGCUGGAAUCGCUAGUAAUCGCGGAUCAGAAUGCCGCGGUGAAUACGUUCCCGGGUCUUGUACACACCGCCCGUCACACCAUGGGAGCCGGAAACGCCCGAAGCCAGCGGCCCAACCGCGAGGAGGGAGCUGUCGAAGGCGGGUCCGGUGACCGGGGUGAAGUCGUAACAAGGUAAC